UACGGGGGGGGCAAGCGUUGUUCGGAAUUACUGGGCGUAAAUGGGCUCGGUAGGCGGCCAACUAAGUCGGAUGUGAAAUCCCCAGGCUUAACCUGGGAACUGCAUCCGAUACUGGAUGGCUUGAAUCCGGGAGAGGGAUGCAGAAUUCCAGGUGUAGCGGUGAAAUGCGUAGAUAUCUGGAGGAAUACCGGUGGCGAAGGCGGCAUCCUGGACCCGACAUUGACGCUGAGGAGCGAAAGCAUGGGGAGCGAACGAGG
RNAcentral lists this ribosomal RNA (257 nucleotides) under uncultured bacterium. RNAcentral describes it as "partial 16S ribosomal RNA". It matches the Rfam family "Bacterial small subunit ribosomal RNA", at positions 524 to 777 of the family's 1533-position model. The record is from RNAcentral.